GGGUAUUAUGACACGUCCGCUGUGGGGCUCUAUCCAGAAAAUUAAUGGGGAAUUCAAUUCUAUGAAAGUGUGAGUGAUAGGGAUUGUAUUCCCCUCCGUAGCAGGACAACAUCUCUUCAUGGCAUCACCAGUCUCCUAAUCUCAGUUAGCCAGUCUCCAUGCUGCACUUUGCCACCAGUGAUUGACAGGGCUCAUUCCCACAUCCAAGUCGGCAGGAAAUGUAGCUGCCUGCUGCUGCUCUUAAACCUUUGGAUGCCAUCUACCAUAGUGCCCUUCAUUUGUUACCGGCGGCAGCUCCGAUACUCAUCAAUGCAUACUGUAUCAAAAGGUUGACUGAACUUCGCUAAGGACCCGUAGAUCUCUUUGCUGUUGAAGUAUAGACACCUGAGUUGCCUAACCCGUUCACAGGAUUGGUUCUCUUGAGGUUCCUAGGAUCUCCAUCAAGCUAGGUAAAUCUGCUUUUAGUUUUAAUGCACCAUAUUGCUGGAACAAAAUUCAAAAUACAUUUCAUCUUUCUAUUCUGAUUGGGGAUCUAUUUAUUGAUCAAUGUAACUGUUUUUCUGGGUGAUAUGUGAUGCAUUAUUUGUGCUGACCAUGACUGUGCUUUUGUAUUCUUAUAUGUAUAUACACAGUAUAUAUUUUGUGUUUAAUAUGUAUUUUAUAUUGUAUUAUAUAGGGCACAUUUGGAAAAGAGACCUAGGUCUUAAUAUGUCUUCCCUGUCAAAAUAAACGUGAAAUAAAAAUCA
Long non-coding RNA from Oncorhynchus tshawytscha (Chinook salmon), 746 nucleotides. RefSeq lists it as uncharacterized. The record is from RefSeq and is a predicted model, not a curated record. NCBI's taxonomy places the organism in Eukaryota, Metazoa, Chordata, Actinopteri, Salmoniformes, Salmonidae. The transcript is spliced from 3 exons.